UACUAACUCUGAAUAAACCAUUUUUUUUAAAAUUUCUAGGAAAAGUGUAACUCAGGGGUGCAGUGCCUGCCUGGUAAGCAUCAUGUCCUGAGUUUGAUUACUGGCAUUAGAACAAAAAAAGAUUGAAGAGUGCAAAAUUGUUCAAGAAAAAAGAACAUUUUAAGCAAUGACUGUACCUUUGAAUAGCCACAAACAUCAGCAAUACACCUAUCCCAGAAAGAGACUACAUUUCUCAAUCAUCUUUUAAGGAGAAAUACGAAUGUGUAACAACAAGCUCUGAAAUUAUACUGCAAGUUGGUAGUUGCACGUAUUUAUUCUAUAACUUGUUUUACCCUUUGAUGCAAGGCUGUUGCAUGGGUUGUUAAAUUUCCUGUGUUUCCAGAGCAAACUGGCAGCCAAAUAAACAAAUAUUUGAAUCAUCUGACCGAUGUUGAAAUUUGGGUGCAUUUAAACGGACUGUUCAAUGUUCAGUCAAAUAAGGAGACCACUCCUGUCAUUCAGAAUAUCACACUGUUACUCGGAAAUGAUCGCAGGGGAAGUAAUUACUAUUUCUUUUUCAACUGACCCUCAUCAAGUUCACAAGGGGAUGAUCAUUUCAGAAUUAUCUUUACUGAUGAAGAAAAGAUUGGAAAAGAUCGGUAAGAGAUCUUUGGAACCGAGAGCAAGCUGCACUAAUGAGUCUCCUGAUGCUGUCCCGGCGAUGGGCCCCGCAGAAUCCCAUCAAUAA
RNAcentral lists this long non-coding RNA (727 nucleotides) under Chinchilla lanigera (long-tailed chinchilla). RNAcentral describes it as "lncRNA (ENSCLAG00000026325.1)". The record is from RNAcentral. Lineage: Eukaryota; Metazoa; Chordata; Mammalia; Rodentia; Chinchillidae.